Molecule: ribosomal RNA, 460 nt
Filed under: uncultured bacterium
Lineage: Bacteria
Description: partial 16S ribosomal RNA
Rfam family: Bacterial small subunit ribosomal RNA
Source: RNAcentral
CCUACGUGUGGCAGCAGUGAGGAAUAUUGGUCAAUGGGCGAGAGCCUGCACCAGCCAAGUCGCGUGAAGGAUGAAGGAUCUAUGGUUUGUAAACUUCUUUUAUAUGGGAAUAACGUGAGGAACGUGUUACUUUUUGUAUGUACCAUAUGAAUAAGCAUCGGCUAACUCCGUGCCAGCAGCCGCGGUAAUACGGCGGAUGCGAGCGUUAUCCGUAUUUAUGGGGUUUAAAGGGUGCGUAGGUGGUGAAUUAAGUCAGAGGUGAAAGUUUGUGGCUCAACCAUAAAAUUGCCGUUGAAACUGGUUGACUUGAGUAUAUGUGAGGUAGGCGGAAUGCGUGGUGUAGCGGUUGAAUGCAUAGAUAUCACGCAGAACUCCGAUUGCGAAGGCAGCUUACUAAACUAUAACUGACACUGAAGCACGAAAGCGUGGGGAUCAAACAGGAUUAGAUACCCGUGUAGUC